UGAGUGCAUUACAACCCACAAAGACUUCCAACUUCUACUCUUCAAUAUGACUGUCCUGAAGGUCGCAUAUUGAACUCCGUGGGCACGCGAACCUAUGAGCGACUGUAUUCACAAACGAUGCAGAUACACUGCGUAUCGCCAGUUUGCAAGGUGAGUAUGGCACAAGCUUGGAAAAAACAAGAUCAUGGUCAUCCCAGCCUGUGCAGUGAAGACGGUCUGGCAAGCCUUUCCCACAGAAAAUGCCACAGGCUUCAAGUACCCAAGAUCCUAACUGGGGGUACCUCUUCGCACAGCUCGUCUAUCACAUUUAAAAUAAUUCAGCAUCUGUAUUUAGGAUGAUCUAUAGCUCUCAGGAUGAUGCAUGGUUCAUGAGUUCAACAUGUUGUGUUGAAACACAACACUAGUCCUUUUUAAUGAGUCUUGCGGAGUGAUAGAUGAGCACUCCUUUCGUGACAUUGUGUACCAUUGCUACAGUGAACAAUUUCUUGAGCAAGACUGAUGAACGAACAAAAAAUAGAGUCUUGUCUUCCAAAUAUGUAUGUUCCUUGUAACUUCAUGUAUGUUCCUUGUAAUUUGUUAAGUGACCCAUGUUGAUGUCCCCCCUCAUGUAAUGCCUGCAAUGGCAUUUGAGAUAUAUUCAUAAAUAAAUAAAUAUCAAAACUGGAAAAA
Molecule: long non-coding RNA, 669 nt
Organism: Ornithodoros turicata
Lineage: Eukaryota; Metazoa; Arthropoda; Arachnida; Ixodida; Argasidae
Exons: 2
Source: RefSeq, a predicted model, not a curated record